This 468-nucleotide ribosomal RNA is filed under the name uncultured bacterium. Its description in RNAcentral is "partial 16S ribosomal RNA". It matches the Rfam family "Bacterial small subunit ribosomal RNA", at positions 28 to 507 of the family's 1533-position model. The record is from RNAcentral.
GAUGAACGCUGGCGGCGUGCUUAACACAUGCAAGUCGAACGGAAAGGCUCUGCUUUUGUGGGGUGCUCGAGUGGCGAACGGGUGAGUAACACGUGAGUAAUCUGCCCUGGACUUCGGGAUAACCCUAGGAAACUGGGGCUAAUACCGGAUAGGAGCUCAUGCUGCAUGGUGGGGUUUGGAAAGUUUCGGCGGUUGGGGAUGGACUCGCGGCUUAUCAGCUUGUUGGUGGGGUAGUGGCAUACCAAGGCUUUGACGGGUAGCCGGCCUGAGAGGGUGACCGGCCACAUUGGGACUGAGAUACGGCCCAGACUCCUACGGGAGGCAGCAGUGGGGAAUAUUGCACAAUGGGCGGAAGCCUGAUGCAGCAACGCCGCGUGCGGGAUGACGGCCUUCGGGUUGUAAACCGCUUUCGCCUGUGACGAAGCGUGAGUGACGGUAAUGGGAGAAGAAGCACCGGCUAACUACGUG